GUGAAUCAUCGAAUUUUUGAACGCAAAUUGCACUCUCCGGUUUUCCGGGAGAGUAUGCCUGUUUGAGGGUCAGCCUAAAAAAAAUCGACAUUGUUGCUGUUUUAUGGUGACUUUCGUCGGAGAUGGGUUAUCUUAAAUCUCGGUUUAAGCGACUUAAAAAUUUUUUUUACGAUUCUAAGAAUGUUUCUAAGAUUUACUUACACGUUUAAGGUAUCGAUCUUUAUUAGACGUGGCCGUUGCAUCGGAUCGCGUCCAUAAAUAUUUCGUUAACUGACCUCAUACAGGUAAGAACACCCGCUGA
RNAcentral lists this unclassified non-coding RNA (301 nucleotides) under Glomus sp. RNAcentral describes it as "partial contains 5.8S ribosomal RNA and internal transcribed spacer 2". The stretch from base 1 to 72 matches the Rfam family "5.8S ribosomal RNA", at positions 84 to 154 of the family's 154-position model. The record is from RNAcentral. Lineage: Eukaryota; Fungi; Glomeromycota; Glomeromycetes; Glomerales; Glomeraceae.